RNAcentral lists this ribosomal RNA (409 nucleotides) under Diploptera punctata (Pacific beetle cockroach). Its description in RNAcentral is "partial 16S ribosomal RNA". The stretch from base 1 to 203 matches the Rfam family "Archaeal large subunit ribosomal RNA", at positions 1889 to 2143 of the family's 2987-position model. Lineage: Eukaryota; Metazoa; Arthropoda; Insecta; Blattodea; Blaberidae. The record is from RNAcentral.
CGCCUGUUUAACAAAAACAUCGCUUCAUGACAGUAUGAAGUAUUGCCUGCCUAUGAUUUAAUUAAAUGGCCGCGGUAUACUGACCGUGCAAAGGUAGCAUAAUCAUUAGUCUUUUAAUUGGAGGCUGGAAUGAAAGGUGGGACGAAAUAACUACUGUCUUAUUCUGACAAAAUUGAAUUUAAUUAUUGAGUAAGAAAGCUUAAAUAAUUUUAUGGGACGAUAAGACCCUAUAGAGUUUUAUAAUUUUAUAAAUUAAAUUGGUUGGACUACUGUCUUAAUUUUUGAAAUUAUUUUGUUGGGGUGAUGAGAAGAUAUAAUUAACUCUUUUUUAUAAAGUACACAUAUUUGUGGUUAAUUGACCCGUAUGUUAUGAUUAGAAGACUAAAUUACCUAAGGGAUAACAGCGUAA